Molecule: ribosomal RNA, 254 nt
Filed under: uncultured bacterium
Lineage: Bacteria
Description: partial 16S ribosomal RNA
Rfam family: Bacterial small subunit ribosomal RNA
Source: RNAcentral
UACGUAGGGUGCGAGCGUUAAUCGGAAUUACUGGGCGUAAAGCGUGCGCAGGCGGUUCGCCAAGUCAGGUGUGAAAUCCCCGGGCUUAACCUGGGAAUUGCGCUUGAAACUAGCGGGCUUGAGUGUGGCAGAGGGGGGGUGGAAUUCCACGUGUAGCAGUGAAAUGCGUAGAGAUGUGGAGGAACACCGAUGGCGAAGGCAGCCCCCUGGGUCAACACUGACGCCUCAUGCACGAAGCGUGGGGAGCAAACAGG